Molecule: long non-coding RNA, 248 nt
Filed under: Gallus gallus (chicken)
Lineage: Eukaryota; Metazoa; Chordata; Aves; Galliformes; Phasianidae
Source: RNAcentral
CACGGUAUAUCUUUUCGAGAUUCACAGCAUCCAGCUGAGAUUUGUCAAUGAUUUUUAUUGCCACCUCGCUGCGCGUGAUGCGGUGCCGCGCCAGCUUGACCACGGCGAAGUUGCCCUUGCCCAGCGUGCCCUCAAUAUCGUAGAAGCCGACGCGGACGGGCCCGGGCCCGCGGGGCAGCAGCGGGGGGGGCCGCCGGGGCUCGGCCAUUACCAUGCUGGGCGCAGGGGGCGGCAGCGGCUCAGGCGGC